RNA transcript from Silurus meridionalis, 1962 nucleotides. It is a transcript of the gene named protein-L-isoaspartate (D-aspartate) O-methyltransferase, with no coding region annotated. The transcript is spliced from 8 exons. The record is from RefSeq and is a predicted model, not a curated record. NCBI's taxonomy places the organism in Eukaryota, Metazoa, Chordata, Actinopteri, Siluriformes, Siluridae.
CGUGCGCGCGCAUGUCUGGUGACGUCGAGGCCCCGUCCGCGUGGGAAGUGGCGCGCGUGCUGGGCAGGACGUUGUGCGCAGGCGCGGGCCUCACCGCCGCUCUUUACCUGUUCCGCAGGGUGUGCUCGAUCAUGGCCUGGAAGUCAGGAGGAGCCAGCCAAGCGGAGCUCGUCAACAACCUCCGCAAGAAUGGCAUCAUCAAGUCGGACCGUGUGUAUGAAGUCAUGCUUAAGACAGAUCGAGCCCAUUUCUCCAGAUGUAACCCGUAUAUGGAUUCUCCACAGUCUAUAGGAUAUCAGGCAACCAUCAGUGCGCCACAUAUGCAUGCAUAUGCACUGGAGUUGUUACAUGAUCAGCUGUAUGAAGGUGCCAAAGCUCUGGAUGUGGGAUCGGGCAGCGGCAUCCUGUCCGUCUGUUUCGCCAGAAUGGUGGGGCCAAAGGGAAAAGUCAUUGGGAUUGAUCACAUAAAGGAACUAGUGGACGACUCCAUCAACAAUGUUAAGAAAGAUGAUCCUACGCUGAUAUCAUCAGGACGCAUCAAUCUUCUCGUUGGAGACGGCAGGUUGGGCCAUCCGGAGGAGGCUCCCUACGACGCGAUACAUGUAGGAGCCGCAGCUCCGUCUGUUCCCCAGGCUUUACUGGAUCAACUGAAGCCCGGCGGGCGUCUCAUCCUGCCAGUCGGACCGGCUGGAGGAAACCAGAUGCUGGAGCAGCAUGACAAGCUCGAGGACGGCAGCACCAAAAUGAAGCCCCUCAUGGGGGUGAUUUACGUGCCUUUAACAGACAAAGACAAGCAGUGGUCCAGGUGGAAGUGACUUCCUGUCCCUCUCUUCUCCCUCCUUCCUUUCCCCAGGGAACAGGUGAAAUGGUGUGGUCUGGAGCAAGACAAGGCUGCCUUUGCUGGAUGAACUCUAAAACAACAGUCUGGCAAUAUACCCCAUCAUACAUACAUGCAAACACACAAACACACACACACAGAGAAUCCAUCUGGACUUAACAACUAGCAGGAUGAUAAACGGACGACGAAGGAAAACCACGCUCUCUGCACUCUCGCUCUCUGGGCAGUCUGACCGCCGCGUGGCCAAAGAGCCCUCGGGAUGGACGAGAAAUGACUGCAUGAAAAAAUUAAAAUGAAAUGAGGGGCUUUGUCUCAACAUUUUCAUGCCUGCGGUUUGCUAUCGGAUUGUGAAUUUUUUUUUUUUGUUUGUUUGAUUUGCAGGUGCACUUUUUUUUUUUUGGUGAGAACUACAAUAUUGCAGCUGAUUUAAUUUUUCUUUUUUAAAUUCUUUGCAGUUGGUGUGUUUCAGCUUUGUUUAGAGCUGGUGCUGUUUUUUUGUUUGGACUUGUAGGAAUGAGAGCGAUAUUAAAGGAUAAAUCCACCAUCUCUACCCACCUUCUUUUCUUAUGUUCAACAUGCGACAUCGUUCUGAACGCAGUUUUUUUUUUUGGGCAUCGAAUUUGUAAAAAGUUGCGGCUGGGGAUCUUGAAGGAAGUAGAUUCGAAUCCGGCAGCUGAGCUCAAAUCCUUCUUUUCAAGCUUGAAAUUAUUUGCUUUUCUUUUUCAGCUACAAAAAAAUUUAGCUACAAAAAAAAAAUCGCUAUAUAUUUAAAUUUUGAACAAAAAAGCACUAAUAUAUUAUGGAAAGCUAUUGACCAAUUAAAUUAUUAAUGUGUAGCAAACUUCAGCAUAGAUUCGCUCAGACACUAUUCAAACCCCUAGCUGAAUAAUAGCUCGUUGCUGACACCAUCCUAGACCCUUGCUUACACACUCGCUGUCCCAACACACACACACACGCUCCUGAGACUCACACCGCGUUCAACACACGUUCCAUCAAACCGAUCCACAAACACACGCAGGGCUGAACUUGUGUCUCUUCCACUGUGCACAUGCUGGCUGUCACCAUGCUGAUUGUGACACACACAUAUGUGGCUUUGUACAAAUAAAAACCCAAACCAGUGCAAA